GAAGCCAGAGUUACAUAAAAAGAAAAUUUUAGUCAUUCAAGUGGGGCAAAGGAAAUAUCCUUUUAAAACUCAGGCAGACUGAGUGUUUGUCCUAUAACCUGUCAGAGGAAACAAAU
Molecule: small nucleolar RNA, 116 nt
Filed under: Castor canadensis (American beaver)
Lineage: Eukaryota; Metazoa; Chordata; Mammalia; Rodentia; Castoridae
Description: Small nucleolar RNA SNORA27 (ENSCCNG00000001002.1)
Rfam family: Small nucleolar RNA SNORA27 (bases 17-116)
About the family: ACA27 is a member of the H/ACA class of snoRNA that guide the sites of modification of uridines to pseudouridines.
Source: RNAcentral